This 2223-nucleotide ribosomal RNA is filed under the name Triticum aestivum (bread wheat). Its description in RNAcentral is "partial small subunit ribosomal RNA". Lineage: Eukaryota; Viridiplantae; Streptophyta; Magnoliopsida; Poales; Poaceae. The record is from RNAcentral.
AUGUCAAAAGUGGAGUUGAAGAAGAGCCUGGAGAAGAUAGAAAGUGCUAUAAAUGAUGCAUGUGAAAUUUUGAAACAGUUGAACUUGCCAUGUGUAAGUAAUGAUAAGGGGAGACCAGCUGUUCCUACCAAUGCACGUAGUGCAGGCAUCAGUCCUCCAGUACGUGUAAUUGGUCGAGAUAAGGAUCUUCACAAGAUCAUAGCAAUGCUUCAUGAGAAGGAAGACCAGUGCCAAGCAGACACUGUCAGCGAUACAUGUUAUUCUGUGAUUGGCAUUCAUGGCAUCGCCGGGUCUGGCAAAUCAACACUUGCACGUUGUGUUUAUGAUCAGGAGAAAAAGCAGAAGCAAGAGAAUAUGGAUGGUCAUUUCGAGAUUGUCAUGUGGGUUCAUGUUUCUCAGAAAUUUGAGUUGGAUUCCAUUUUCAGGGACAUGUUUGAGGGGGCUACACGGGAAGUCUGCCUGGAUUUUAAUAGUCUUCAUGCCUUAAAAGAAAAUCUAGAGGAAAAACUGUGUGGAAAACGGAUUUUGUUGAUACUGGAUGAUGUCUGGUACAACAGUAGGAAUUCGGAAGACCAUGAAGAACUACAAAAGUUAAUUUCUCCGCUGAAUGUUGGGAAGGCAGGAAGCAGAAUCUUGGUGACUAGUCGAACUGAAGAUGCAUUAUUAGCUCUGGGUGCUGCUCAAGAGAGAUGUAUUCCAAUAUCUGACCUGGAUGAUGAAGUGUUCCUCGAAAUGUUCAUGUAUUAUGCACUUGGAGAUGCAAGGGUAGGUGGCCAUGAUCGAAGAGAACUUGAAACGAUUGGAGAGGACAUUGCAAAAAAGCUUAAGAGAUCACCUCUAGCAGCCAGAACAGUAGGUGCACGGCUGCGUAAAAACCUGAAAGUCGAGAUUUGGAUGAGGGAGAAGGAUAGGGACCUUAUGAAAGAGACAAUGGGAGCUCUAUGGUGGAGCUACCAGUAUCUUGAUGAGCAGGUCAGGCGAUGCUUCGCUUACUGCAGUAUUUUUCCAAGACGGCAUCAGUUGACACGUGAUGAGUUAGUUAAGUUGUGGGUGGCAGAAGGGUUUAUAAAGACUAGUAAAGCUGAAGAGGAAAUGGAAGAUGUUGCUCGGGAUUACUUUGAUGAAUUGGUGUCGGCCUCAUUUCUGCAACUAGGAGGGAAACAAGAAAAUAUUCUUGGACCUGAUGGUGUGGUUGAUUACUUUACUAUUCAUGAUCUGCUCUGUGAUUUAGCGGAGGACGUUUCUGGAAGAGAUUGCUUCAGGAUUGAGAAAGGCUUCACAGGAGAAGUUCCUCAAGAUGUUCGCUACCUUUUUGUCGGGAGUUAUGAUAUAGAGAUGCUUACUGAGAAGAUGUCUGGAUUGAAACAUUUAUGCACUCUCAUCAUCAAUGACAUCAUAUGGCUUAAAUCAGAUGAGUCUGAAUUCUUAGCGAGUAUGUUCACUAUGUUGACAGGGCUGCGGAAAUUGCGGGUACUGAAUAUGAGAGUAGCACGUGAGAGGAGUGGAUUUGGUUUUUCAUUCUCAUUCCCAGAUUCUAUUGGUCAGUUGAAGCAUCUGCGUUAUUUUGGUUUCAUGGUUCCAGUACUUCACAAGCUAACUUUACCAGGUGCUUUUACCAAGCUUUACCACAUGCAGGUGGUAGAUUUUGGUCAUUGCAAAUUUUUGGCUUUUUCUAGAGGUGAAGAUAUGAUGAACCUUGUCAACCUGCGCCGUGUAAUCAGCAAGGCAGAUCUUGAUUUUCCGAACGUUGGCAGGCUGACAUGGCUCCAAAUGUUACCAUUCUUCACAAUAAGUAAGAAGCAGGGGUACGAGUCUCACCAGCUGAAAUACCUAAACAAGCUUCAAGGCAAGCUGCAGAUCCACGGUCUUGAGAAUGUUGAGAGCAAGGAGGAGGCUGUUGAAGUAAGUCUUGCUGGCAAGGAAAAACUCACAGAACUGGUACUGGUCUGGGAUGAUAAGAACUGCAGUCCAGAAGUUCAAGCAGAGGUGCUUGAGGGUCUUUGUCCAUCAAAGUAUCUUGAAAGAUUAGAAAUCAGGGGUUACCGUGGUAAGAGGAUACCGAGUUGGAUGAUGGGUACGCAUAACGGCAGCCCGAAGAACCUGCAAGACCUUCACUUCAUCAGAUGCAGCUUGGAUGACUUACCAGGUAAUACGGAGCACCUCACAUCACUCAAGAAUGUGAUCCGGUAUAACUACAGCCAAUCCAAAUUGGCAAAAGAUUGA